RNAcentral lists this ribosomal RNA (301 nucleotides) under uncultured bacterium. Its description in RNAcentral is "partial 16S ribosomal RNA". It matches the Rfam family "Bacterial small subunit ribosomal RNA", at positions 509 to 807 of the family's 1533-position model. The record is from RNAcentral.
CAGUAGCCGCGGUAAUACGAAGGGGGCUAGCGUUGUUCGGAUUUACUGGGCGUAAAGCGCACGUAGGCGGAUCGAUCAGUCAGGGGUGAAAUCCUGGAGCUCAACUCCAGAACUGCCUUUGAUACUGUCGAUCUCGAGUCCGGAAGAGGUGAGUGGAACUCCUAGUGUAGAGGUGGAAUUCGUAGAUAUUAGGAAGAACACCAGUGGCGAAGGCGGCUCACUGGUCCGGUACUGACGCUGAGGUGCGAAAGCGUGGGGAGCAAACAGGAUUAGAUACCCCCGUAGUCCCUGUCUCUUAUAC